This 503-nucleotide ribosomal RNA is filed under the name uncultured bacterium. RNAcentral describes it as "bacterial SSU rRNA". It matches the Rfam family "Bacterial small subunit ribosomal RNA", at positions 899 to 1397 of the family's 1533-position model. The record is from RNAcentral.
ACUCAAAGGAAUUGACGGGGGCCCGCACAAGCGGUGGAGCAUGCGGGUUAAUAGGAUGAUACGCCAAGAACCUUACCAGGGCUUGACAUCAAUCGGAAACCCUAUGAAAGUAGGUCCCCUGAGCAAUCAGGUCGAUUGACAGAUGGUGCAUGGUUGUCGUCAGCUCGUGCCGUGAGGUGUUGGGUUAAGUCCCGCAACGAGCGCAACCCUCGCCAGAUGUUGCCAUCGGGUAAUGCCGGGAACUCUUCUGGGACUGCCUGAGUAAUCAGGAGGAAGGAGAGGACGACGUCAAAUCUGCAUGCCUCUUACGCCCUGGGCUGCACGCGUGCUACAAUGGCGGGUACAAAGGGUAGCCAAACCGCGAGGUGGAGCCAAUCCCCCAAAACCCGUCUCAGUUGGGAUCGGAUGUCUGCAACUCGACUCCGUGAACGCGGAAUCGCUAGUAACCGUGGAUCAGCAACGCCACGGUGAAUACGUUCCCGGGCCUUGUACACACCGCCCGU